Molecule: ribosomal RNA, 497 nt
Filed under: uncultured bacterium
Lineage: Bacteria
Description: partial 16S ribosomal RNA
Rfam family: Bacterial small subunit ribosomal RNA
Source: RNAcentral
GAUGGACGCUGGCGGCGUGCCUAAUACAUGCAAGUCGAGCGAACGGACGAGAAGCUUGCUUCUCUGAUGUUAGCGGCGGACGGGUGAGUAACACGUGGAUAACCUACCUAUAAGACUGGGAUAACUUCGGGAAACCGGAGCUAAUACCGGAUAAUAUUUUGAACCUCAUGGUUCAAAAGUGAAAGACGGUCUUGCUGUCACUUAUAGAUGGAUCCGCGCUGCAUUAGCUAGUUGGUAAGGUAACGGCUUACCAAGGCAACGAUGCAUAGCCGACCUGAGAGGGUGAUCGGCCACACUGGAACUGAGACACGGUCCAGACUCCUACGGGAGGCAGCAGUAGGGAAUCUUCCGCAAUGGGCGAAAGCCUGACGGAGCAACGCCGCGUGAGUGAUGAAGGUCUUCGGAUCGUAAAACUCUGUUAUUAGGGAAGAACAUAUGUGUAAGUAACUGUGCACAUCUUGACGGUACCUAAUCAGAAAGCCACGGCUAACUACGUG